This 292-nucleotide ribosomal RNA is filed under the name uncultured bacterium. Its description in RNAcentral is "partial 16S ribosomal RNA". It matches the Rfam family "Bacterial small subunit ribosomal RNA", at positions 505 to 796 of the family's 1533-position model. The record is from RNAcentral.
GUGCCAGCCGCCGCGGUAAUACGUAGGCAGCAAGCGUUGUUCGGAGUUACUGGGCGUAAAGGGUGUGUAGGCGGUUUUUUAAGUUUGUCGUGAAAUCUCCCGGCUCAACCGGGAGGGUGCGGCGAAUACUGAGAAGCUAGAGUGCGGGAGAGGAAAGUGGAAUUCCUGGUGUAGCGGUGAAAUGCGUAGAUAUCAGGAGGAACACCGGUGGUGUAAACGGCUUUCUGGACCGUAACUGACGCUGAGACACGAAAGCGUGGGUAGCAAACAGGAUUAGAAACCCUCGUAGUCC